This 403-nucleotide ribosomal RNA is filed under the name uncultured bacterium. RNAcentral describes it as "partial 16S ribosomal RNA". It matches the Rfam family "Bacterial small subunit ribosomal RNA", at positions 30 to 526 of the family's 1533-position model. The record is from RNAcentral.
AUUGAACGCUGGCGGCAGGCCUAACACAUGCAAGUCGAGCGAGCGGCGGACGGGUGCGUAAUGUAUGGGGACUGCCCGAUAGAGGGGGGUAACUACUGGAAACGGUAGCUAAUACCGCAUACUAUCGGAUAACCCAUAUGGGAUUAGCUAGUAGGUGAGGUAAUGGCUCACCUAGGCGACGAUCCCUAGCUGGUCUGAGAGGAUGAUCAGGCAUGCUGGGACUGAGACACGGCCCAGAAUCCGCCGGAGGCAGCAGUAGGGAAUAUUGCGCGAUGGACGCAGGGCUGCUGCAGCAGUGCCGCGUGUAUGAAUAAGGCCCUAGGGGUGUAAAUUACUUUCAGUCGGGAUACGUUACCGACAGAAGAAGUACCGGCUAACUUCGUGCCAGCAGCCGCGGUAAUAC